GUCCACGCCGUAAACGGUGGGCGCUAGGUGUGGGGAACAUUCCACGUUCUCCGUGCCGCAGCUAACGCAUUAAGCGCCCCGCCUGGGGAGUACGGCCGCAAGGCUAAAACUCAAAGGAAUUGACGGGGGCCCGCACAAGCGGCGGAGCAUGCGGCUUAAUUCGAUGCAACGCGAAGAACCUUACCUAGGCUUGACAGUUGGGGAAAUCUGGCAGAGAUGUCAGGUCCGCAAGGGCCCCAAACAGGUGGUGCAUGGCUGUCGU
This 262-nucleotide ribosomal RNA is filed under the name uncultured bacterium. Its description in RNAcentral is "partial 16S ribosomal RNA". It matches the Rfam family "Bacterial small subunit ribosomal RNA", at positions 793 to 1055 of the family's 1533-position model. The record is from RNAcentral.